RNAcentral lists this ribosomal RNA (253 nucleotides) under uncultured bacterium. Its description in RNAcentral is "partial 16S ribosomal RNA". It matches the Rfam family "Bacterial small subunit ribosomal RNA", at positions 524 to 776 of the family's 1533-position model. The record is from RNAcentral.
UACGUAGGGCGCAAGCGUUGUCCGGAAUUAUUGGGCGUAAAGAGCUCGUAGGCGGCUUGUCACGUCGGGUGUGAAAGCCCGGGGCUUAACCCCGGGUCUGCAUUCGAUACGGGCAGGCUAGAGUGUGGUAGGGGAGAUCGGAAUUCCUGGUGUAGCGGUGAAAUGCGCAGAUAUCAGGAGGAACACCGGUGGCGAAGGCGGAUCUCUGGGCCAUUACUGACGCUGAGGAGCGAAAGCGUGGGGAGCAAACGGG